CCAGUGUUUUCCGCCUCCAAGAUGGGGUCAUGGUUGUUUUAAGUUCCGGUUGAUCGGCAACCCAGCUGCAUUUGUGUUAAACUCCUACCGUGAACCGGCACAAACGUCCCGAAUUAAAUCAAUGGAUCGACGCUCAAAAAGCGACCUUUAAUCGGAUUCAACGCGGAGGAGCUAAGCGCCAUGUUGGAAACCCGGCGAGCCAUCGACUCUUCACAUUACAUCUAAACGAAGUUACGUCAAGUACAUGGAGAGUGGACACGAAAACCAUGAGCAGAGCUUCCACAGUUUCAUCAUCUGGUCUACACCUACGAAAUACCUCCCAGAAAACAGACAGAAAAUCCACAUGGGACCAUUUGUUUAAGGUCAGGAGUGGACUGGCAUUCCAGGCAUUGUCCCGGUGGGACGUCCACCCGGAGUGGGCUGGUCCGGCCUGCUAA
Molecule: long non-coding RNA, 437 nt
Filed under: Gouania willdenowi (blunt-snouted clingfish)
Lineage: Eukaryota; Metazoa; Chordata; Actinopteri; Blenniiformes; Gobiesocidae
Description: lncRNA (ENSGWIG00000018398.1)
Source: RNAcentral